Long non-coding RNA from Felis catus (domestic cat), 1513 nucleotides. RefSeq lists it as uncharacterized. The transcript has 4 exons. Lineage: Eukaryota; Metazoa; Chordata; Mammalia; Carnivora; Felidae. The record is from RefSeq and is a predicted model, not a curated record.
AUAAACAAAAUAUUCCUUUCAUAAAAAAAAAAAAAAGAAUCAAGCCCUGGGCUUUUUAUUGCCCCCCCCCCCAUCCACUAUCAGCAGGGAGGUUUACUUGUGAUUUUGGUGGUGACCCCACAAAAUCAGGCUGAGGACCUGUAAGUCAGGAGGCUUGAGAAACUGCCUGGGGGGCCCCUUGGGCACCAGCAGAGCACCCCGGCACACAGCGAUGGGGGACCUCCUGCAGGUUUCAAAUAGAGAAGACUGUCCUGCUGCCUGUCAAUCUGUAUGGUAAUGCUGUUCUCCCAAAGAUGGAGGCACCAGGAUCCUUGCAGAGGUCCCAGGAGGGGCCCUCGCUUGGCUCGCUGAUGGGGCUCAGGGGCAGACUUCUUGUGGGGCUCCCUCAGGGCCUGCAGAGCACCGUUCUCUUAAGGCAAGAAUGGCAACCAUUAGCACGCAGGCUGCCCCUCUCCUCCCCCAUGUUGGUGGCAGACAAAACUAAUCAACUGCCUCCUCCUCAGCCUGGAUGAGACCCUGAAAGCCGUUUAGCCCUGUGGUUGUUACCAAGGGAUCUGAGACGGUGUGCGGAAAAUGUCCACCCCUGCCUCGCGCUCCUGACAUGUCCAGCUUCCUGCUCACAAUGUUUAUACUUUCCCAACAGCCUGGGGAUCACUUGAUGAGCUCCUCAAAAGUCUUGGGAUCGCGUCUUUGGAAAACUCACAUCUCUCUGGAUACCUGGUUUCUCUGCUCUUGUGUCGAAGGCAGAGGCAACUUGAAAAGUCCAGCACACCAUUCACCUUGGGCUGAGGGCAUCCAGAAGGAGUUUUGAACUGAUAUCAAGCAAGAGUUUCUAAUCUCCGUGUGGCGAUUUGUGUGACACACGUUUCCCCACGCUUGGGCAGUCGAGAGACUGGGAAGAAGAGGAAGCUGGUAUGUAAAGGAGGACGAAGCAAGGAUGCAGAGAGGGGUAGAAGCCAAGGAGACAGCUCGAUGUUGCCUGCGCUCCCCCCGCCUUCCCUCCCCCAUCCUCCCUGGGCCAAUUCAGAGCUCUCUGUUCUUAGAAAAAAUACUUCUGGGGCGCCUGGGUGGCUCAGUCGGUUCAGCAUCCGACUUCGGCUCAGGUCAUGAUCUCAUGGUGUGUGAGUUCGAGCCCCACACCGUGCUCACGGCUGUCAGUGCAGAGCCUGCCUCAGAUCCUCUGUCCCCCUCCCCCGCUUGCACUCUCCCCCCCAAAUAAAAUAAGCAUUUUUCAAAAAAAUAAACGACAAGAAAAAAAUGCUUCUCCUUCGCUUAAGCUGGGUCCAGUUGUUCUCAUUUGCAAUCAUAGUAAUAAUAAGAAUAAUUAAUAAAAGGCCUUUCUAAGCUCCCUCAGUGAGUGUGUCCGGUGUGGCCUUCCUGUGGAACUGACGUAUCGCGGAAGCCGCCAGGAGUGGGGGAGAAAGAUCUUGGCAGAGAGCCUGACCUGCCUGCUUUUGUUUUUAGGCAUCCUGUCCUAUCUACCAGAUGAGGCUGCGGGGGUGGUGGGCAGAGG